AGCCCUUCCAGAAGGUACCUUCUGGCAAGGGUACUGUACUAAACUAACUAAAGUGGGGGAUAGUGAGGGGAUAAAUUUUCUUAAGGAACUCGGCAAAAUCCCAAUGGCCCACCAGGGCAUAUUGGAACACGGGCCUCGACUGUUUACCAAAAACAUAGCCCUCGGCUAAUAUGAAAAUAGAUGUAUAGAGGGUGAUGCCUGCCCAAUGGUUGUAUCUAAAAGCGGUUGAUAAAAGUCGACCUUGUAAGGACAAUUGAAUGGCCGCGGUAACACUGACCGUGAUAAUGUAGCGUAAUCAAUAGCCAAUUAAUUGUUGGCCAGUAUGAAUGGCGCCACGAAGGCCCCACUGUCUUAAGGAAAUUCCCAGUGAAAUUGAAUUCGUAGUGAAGAUGCUACGUCCAAUUUGUUAGACGAAAAGACCCCGUUGAGCUUUACUGGAGCACUUAUAUGGCCCCGGCCUUCCCAUGCCUGGGAACCGGCCGAAUUUAAAUGGGCGGCUUAGAUUAUGUGGCAGCCCCCCGCUGGGGCAAAUGAAACACCACUCCCCCAUGUCAAAGGGGCUAACCCCCCCCUUGGGGGGGACAGUGUAAGUAGGACAGUUUGGUUGGGGCGACCGCCUUUUAAAAAGUAACGAAGGUGCGCUUAAGGUGUGCAAUUAAUGACUGAAGCCUGACUGCGAGGGGGGACACCCCACCAGACACCCCUAAGCCCGCCCGAAGGGCGGCGGUGGGGUGGG
This 736-nucleotide ribosomal RNA is filed under the name Zoanthus pulchellus. RNAcentral describes it as "partial large subunit ribosomal RNA". It matches the Rfam family "Bacterial large subunit ribosomal RNA", at positions 1602 to 2435 of the family's 2925-position model. Lineage: Eukaryota; Metazoa; Cnidaria; Anthozoa; Zoantharia; Zoanthidae. The record is from RNAcentral.